This 468-nucleotide ribosomal RNA is filed under the name uncultured bacterium. RNAcentral's name for it is "partial 16S ribosomal RNA". It matches the Rfam family "Bacterial small subunit ribosomal RNA", at positions 28 to 507 of the family's 1533-position model. The record is from RNAcentral.
GACGAACGCUGGCGGCGUGCUUAACACAUGCAAGUCGAACGGAAAGGCCCUGCUGUUGUGGGGUGCUCGAGUGGCGAACGGGUGAGUAACACGUGAGUAACCUGCCCUUGACUUUGGGAUAACUUCAGGAAACUGGGGCUAAUACCGGAUAGGAGCUCCUGCUGCAUGGUGGGGGUUGGAAAGUUUCGGCGGUUGGGGAUGGACUCGCGGCUUAUCAGCUUGUUGGUGGGGUAGUGGCUUACCAAGGCUUUGACGGGUAGCCGGCCUGAGAGGGUGACCGGCCACAUUGGGACUGAGAUACGGCCCAGACUCCUACGGGAGGCAGCAGUGCGGAAUAUUGCACAAUGGGCGGAAGCCUGAUGCAGCAACGCCGCGUGCGGGAUAACGGCCUUCGGGUUGUAAACCGCUUUCGCCUGUGACGAAGCGUGAGUGACGGUAAUGGGUAAAGAAGCACCGGCUAACUACGUG